UACGUAGGGGGCAAGCGUUGUCCGGAUUUAUUGGGCGUAAAGAGCGUGUAGGCGGCCUGGAAGGUCAGCUGUGAAAACUCGGGGCUUAACCCCGAGCCUGCUUCUGAUACGGGCAGACUAGAGGUAUGCAGGGGAGAACGGAAUUCCUGGUGUAGCGGUGAAAUGCGCAGAUAUCAGGAGGAACACCGGUGGCGAAGGCGGUUCUCUGGGCAUUACCUGACGCUGAGGAGCGAAAGUGUGGGGAGCGAACAGG
RNAcentral lists this ribosomal RNA (253 nucleotides) under uncultured bacterium. Its description in RNAcentral is "partial 16S ribosomal RNA". It matches the Rfam family "Bacterial small subunit ribosomal RNA", at positions 524 to 776 of the family's 1533-position model. The record is from RNAcentral.